AGUCGUAACAAGGUUUCCGUAGGUGAACCUGCGGAAGGAUCAUUAAAAAAUUGGACUCCAUUGGUGAGUUCAUUAAUAAUCCCUACCCUUUGUGAAUUUGUUUGUUUGAAUAAUUUUUUUUCCAAAAAAAUUAUUGAAUGUCUUUCCCUGUUUUGGUGGAGCUUGUAAAGUGAAACCAGGCAGGGGAAUGGCAAACAAUAAUUAUUUUUGAAAAAAGACCUUUUUUUAAAUUAAACUUUUUGUAUUCAUUUGUCUAAAAUUAUUUUUAUAAUAUAAAAACAACUUUUGACAAUGGAUCUCUUGGUUCUCGCAACGAUGAAGAACGCAGCAAAAUGCGAUAAGUAGUGUGAAUUGCAGAAUACGUGAAUCAUCGAAUCUUCGAACGCAUAUUGCACUUUUUUAGUUUACUAAAAAAGUAUGUCUGUUUGAGUAUCAGUAAAAUAUUCUCAUAAAAAACAUUGUUUUUUUAUGGUUAUGAGUGUUUUACAACGAUAACAAGUUGUUUCACUUUAAAUUCUUUGUUAUCAAAAAAAUCAUUAAAAGCUAAUUUUAAAGAUUUUUUAAAAUUGGAUAAAAUUUUCCCGUAAAAAGGAAUAACCUAAACAAUUUUAAAAAAUUAAAAUUGGUUUGAUUUUUUUUGAAACCCAAAGGAAAAAAAACGAAAUUAACUUGAUCUCAAAUCAGAUAAGAGUACCCGCUGAACUUAAGCAUAUCAAUAAGCGGAGGAAAAGAAACUAACUAGGAUUCCCUCAGUAACGGCGAGUGAAGCGGGAAGAGCUCAAAUUUGAAAUCUUCAAGGUUUUACCUUGACGAAUUGUAGUUUAAAGAAGUGUUUUCUGUUGGAGUUUUGGUAAAAGUUCUUUGGAAAAGGACAUCAUAGAGGGUGAGAAUCCCGUAUUUGACCAUUAUCUCCAGCUUUGUGAUACACUUUCAAAGAGUCGGAUUGUUUGGGAAUGCAGUCCAAAAUGGGUGGUAAAUUUCAUCUAAAGCUAAAUACUGGCGAGAGACCGAUAGCGAACAAGUACCGUGAGGGAAAGAUGAAAAGAACUUUGAAAAGAGAGUUAAACAGUACGUGAAAUUGUCAAAAGGGAAGCGUUUGACACCAGUGUUGUUUUCUCGAAAAUCAAUUAAAAAAGGCCGGAUUUUGUGUUGUAUUGACUUUAUCAGCUUUCUGCACUUUUUUCUUGUCUUUUUUAAUGCACUUUUCGUUUAACAAGUCAACAUCAAUUUCUUUUGUUGUAAAAGGGUCAUUGGAAGGUGGCUUUCUUUUCGGAGAAAGUGUUUAUAGCCUUUGGCCUCUGCAAUCGGAGAGAUUGAGGUCUGCAGCGUAGAUCCUUCGGGGUUAGAUACAUUUGUGCUAAGUUAUAGCCUUUCAUAGACAACUUGUUGACUAUGAUCAGUCAUGUAGCUUACUCGCUUAUGCUAUUUUACCUACGCUUAGGAUGUUGAA
Molecule: unclassified non-coding RNA, 1450 nt
Filed under: uncultured Neocallimastigales
Lineage: Eukaryota; Fungi; Neocallimastigomycota; Neocallimastigomycetes; Neocallimastigales
Description: partial contains small subunit ribosomal RNA, internal transcribed spacer 1, 5.8S ribosomal RNA, internal transcribed spacer 2, and large subunit ribosomal RNA
Rfam family: Eukaryotic large subunit ribosomal RNA (bases 671-1450)
Source: RNAcentral